AAACGCGUAGGAGUUUAAUUGAU
RNAcentral lists this small nuclear RNA (23 nucleotides) under Arabidopsis thaliana (thale cress). Its description in RNAcentral is "snRNA_10592". Lineage: Eukaryota; Viridiplantae; Streptophyta; Magnoliopsida; Brassicales; Brassicaceae. The record is from RNAcentral.